Molecule: long non-coding RNA, 483 nt
Filed under: Androctonus crassicauda
Lineage: Eukaryota; Metazoa; Arthropoda; Arachnida; Scorpiones; Buthidae
Source: RNAcentral
GUAUUGAAAUUUAAUAAAUUAUAAUUGAUUAAAAUGAGUUAAAAGAGAAUUUUUUCAAUACAAAACUAUCAUUUACAAAUAUUUUUAUAAUUUUAGACGUGAAUUGUAACAUAUCAUUAAGGAUAUUGAUAUAUAAAUAGUUAAAAAUAAUCAAUCUUUCAGAUUAUUUGCCUCAUAUAAAAUUUCUUUCCCUUAAUGCACAAUUUUAAAUAUGGUCCUCCAAACAACCAAGAAUGUCUAAAGUGGCCCUUUAAAAAGAAUGAGCUUGACAUUGCUGAUUUAUACCAUGAAUUUGCAAAAGUAAACAAAUCCAGAUUAUUGAUUUUUUUUAAAAAGAGUAAAUAUAUACAAAAUCUAGAUGUUGCAGAAGAAAGUUCAGAAGAUUCAUAUUCUGAAACAGAGAAAGCAUCCUCUUGAUUGUGUUUGGCAGCAAUGAAAAGGGAAAAAUUAAAUGAACAUAUGAAUUACAGUUUAUAAGAUGCU